GACGUAGGGCGCGAGCGUUGUCCGGAUUAUUGGGCGUAAAGAGCUCGUAGGCGGCUUGUCGCGUCGAAUGUGAAAUCUCAGGGCUCAACUCUGACAUUGCAUUCGAUACGGGCAGGCUAGAGUUCGGUAGGGGAGACUGGAAUUCCUGGUGUAGCGGUGAAAUGCGCAGAUAUCAGGAGGAACACCGGUGGCGAAGGCGGGUCUCUGGGCCGAUACUGACGCUGAGGAGCGAAAGCGUGGGGAGCGAACAGG
This 252-nucleotide ribosomal RNA is filed under the name uncultured bacterium. RNAcentral describes it as "partial 16S ribosomal RNA". It matches the Rfam family "Bacterial small subunit ribosomal RNA", at positions 524 to 776 of the family's 1533-position model. The record is from RNAcentral.